CCUACGGGAGGCAGCAGUGAGGAAUAUUGGUCAAUGGACGAGAGUCUGAACCAGCCAAGUAGCGUGAAGGAUGACUGCCCUAUGGGUUGUAAACUUCUUUUAUAAAGGAAUAAAACGAGGCACGUGUGCCUUUUUGCAUGUACUUUAUGAAUAAGGAUCGGCUAACUCCGUGCCAGCAGCCGCGGUAAUACGGAGGAUCCGAGCGUUAUCCGGAUUUAUUGGGUUUAAAGGGAGCGUAGAUGGGUUGUUACGUCAGUUGUGAAAGUUUGCGGCUCAACCGUAAAAUUGCAAUUGAUACUGGCAGUCGUGAGUACAGUUGAGGUAGGCGGAAUUCGUGGUGUAGCGGUGAAAUGCUUAGAUAUCACGAAGAACCCCGAUUGCGAAGGCAGCUUACUAAACUGUGACUGACAUUGAUGCUCGAAAGUGUGGGUAUCAAACAGGAUUAGAUACCCGAGUAGUC
RNAcentral lists this ribosomal RNA (460 nucleotides) under uncultured bacterium. Its description in RNAcentral is "partial 16S ribosomal RNA". It matches the Rfam family "Bacterial small subunit ribosomal RNA", at positions 338 to 795 of the family's 1533-position model. The record is from RNAcentral.